RNAcentral lists this ribosomal RNA (774 nucleotides) under uncultured Neocallimastigales. RNAcentral's name for it is "partial large subunit ribosomal RNA". It matches the Rfam family "Eukaryotic large subunit ribosomal RNA", at positions 24 to 614 of the family's 3401-position model. The record is from RNAcentral. Lineage: Eukaryota; Fungi; Neocallimastigomycota; Neocallimastigomycetes; Neocallimastigales.
UAUGUGAUCGUCUCUCGCAUAUCAAUAAGCGGAGGAAAAGAAACUAACAAGGAUUCCCCUAGUAACGGCGAGUGAAGCGGGAAGAGCUCAAAUUUGAAAUCUUAAAGGGUUUCCCUUUACGAAUUGUAGUUUAAAGAAGUGUUUUCUGUUGAGGUUUUGGUAAAAGUUCUUUGGAAUAGGACAUCAUAGAGGGUGAGAAUCCCGUAUUUGACCUUUACUUUCAACUUUGUGAUACACUUUCAAAGAGUCGGAUUGUUUGGGAAUGCAGUCCAAAAUGGGUGGUAAAUUUCAUCUAAAGCUAAAUAUUGGCGAGAGACCGAUAGCGAACAAGUACCGUGAGGGAAAGAUGAAAAGAACUUUGAAAAGAGAGUUAAACAGUACGUGAAAUUGUCAAAAGGGAAGCGUUUGACACCAGUGUUGUUUUUCUGAAAAUCAAUUAAAGAACUGUUUAUGCUAAGUUGUUUAGACUUUAUCAGCUAUCUGUUUAGUUUUGAGCUUUUCUUUAAUGCACUUUUCAGUUAACAAGUCAACAUCAAUUUCUUUUGCUGUAAAAAAGCUUGAGGAAGGUGGCUUGAGAUUCGUCUUAAGUGUUUAUAGCCUCUUGCCUAUGCAGUCGGAGAGAUUGAGGUCUGCAGCGUAGAUCCUUCGGGGCUAAAUGCAUUUGUGCUAAGUUAUAGCAUUUUAUAGACAACUUGUUGACUAUGACUUGUCUUGUAGCUUACUCGCUUAUGUUAUUUUACCUACGCUUAGGAUGUUGAGUCAUCACACAUCUCU